UCUCGCUCGCGGGCGCGCGCAUCGGCUGGGUGACCUGCGUGGUCCCGCGGCGCCGGGCGGAAGAUGGCGGCGGCGGCUGCCCGAGGCACAGGCACGGCGUGGCCGGGGCUUGGCGGCUCCUCGGCUGAGGACAGAAUGGUGUCUUGAAGUAUAAGAGUCUGUCUGUAGACUUCGAUAUUUCAGAGGAGUGAGAUGUCCACAGGAGGGGUGGAAAGCAGCUCCCUUGGGCUUAUGCGGGUCUUGGACCAGACCUAAUCUGGGUGGAAAAGGAAAACUGGAUCAUGGCUUACCAAAACUUGGUGGAAAAGUGGAGCCUUCUGUUCUUCAGACCCUAUUAAUACACAGAUUCAAGGUCAAGAGCUGAAACUGGAUAUUGCAUGAAUUAUCUUUUUUUCCAAAAUUAUCAGGGAAGUUAAAUGAGAUUCCUGCAGUAAAGAAAGUACAGCACUAGAAAACCUUUUUGGGUGUCCAUAUUGCAAGCCUGUUAGUCUGGGAUAGAAGAACAUCACAAAAUAUCUGAAUGACCCUGAGAACUAGCAACUGUUUUUUGAGCACAAAUGUUUCUGCUCACUUUUUUACAAGUAUAAAAUGCAUACUGUUGAGUGCACAAAUUAAAAUUUUCAAAUCAUUGUA
Molecule: long non-coding RNA, 633 nt
Organism: Mauremys mutica (yellowpond turtle)
Lineage: Eukaryota; Metazoa; Chordata; Testudines; Geoemydidae
Exons: 6
Source: RefSeq, a predicted model, not a curated record